Molecule: ribosomal RNA, 509 nt
Filed under: uncultured bacterium
Lineage: Bacteria
Description: bacterial SSU rRNA
Rfam family: Bacterial small subunit ribosomal RNA
Source: RNAcentral
GACGAACGCUGGCGGCGUGCCUAAUACAUGCAAGUCGAACGCACUCUCGUUUAGAUUGAAGGAGCUUGCUCCUGAUUGAUAAACAUUUGAGUGAGUGGCGGACGGGUGAGUAACACGUGGGUAACCUGCCCUAAAGUGGGGGGUAACAUUUGGAAACAGAUGCUAAUACCGCAUAAAACCUAACACCGCAUGGUGUAGGGUUGAAAGAUGGUUUCGGCUAUCACUUUAGGAUGGACCCGCGGUGCAUUAGUUAGUUGGUGAGGUAAAGGCUCACCAAGACCGUGAUGCAUAGCCGACCUGAGAGGGUAAUCGGCCACACUGGGACUGAGACACGGCCCAGACUCCUACGGGAGGCAGCAGUAGGGAAUCUUCCACAAUGGACGAAAGUCUGAUGGAGCAACGCCGCGUGAGUGAAGAAGGUUUUCGGAUCGUAAAACUCUGUUGCUGGAGAAGAAUGUAUCUGAUAGUAACUGAUCAGGUAGUGACGGUAUCCAACCAGAAAGCCACGG